UGGGGAAUAUUGGACAAUGGGGGCAACCCUGAUCCAGCCAUGCCGCGUGUGUGAAGAAGGCCUUUUGGUUGUAAAGCACUUUAAGCGAGGAGGAGGCUACCUGUAUUAAUACUAUAGGCUAGUGGACGUUACUCGCAGAAUAAGCACCGGCUAACUCUGUGCCAGCAGCCGCGGUAAUACAGAGGGUGCGAGUGUUAAUCGGAAUUACUGGGCGUAAAGCGCGCGUAGGCGGUUUGUUAAGUCGGAUGUGAAAUCCCCGGGCUCAACCUGGGAAUUGCAUUCGAUACUGGCAAGCUAGAGUAUGGGAGAGGAAGGUAGAAUUCCAGGUGUAGCGGUGAAAUGCGUAGAGAUCUGGAGGAAUACCGAUGGCGAAGGCAGCCUUCUGGCCUAAUACUGACGCUGAGGUGCGAAAGCAUGGGGAGCAAACAGGAUUAGAUACCCAGGUAGUCCCUGAGCGGGCUGGCAAGGCGCAU
RNAcentral lists this ribosomal RNA (473 nucleotides) under uncultured bacterium. RNAcentral's name for it is "bacterial SSU rRNA". It matches the Rfam family "Bacterial small subunit ribosomal RNA", at positions 355 to 825 of the family's 1533-position model. The record is from RNAcentral.